AUGAUCGUCAAAGCCAACCGUGAAGGUAAUUUGUUGCACCCCCUAAGUCCUCACAUUCCCUGCCCCAUCCUUCAAUACGCCGACGACAUGCUUAUCAUAGUUAAAGCUAUGCCUGGGGCCGCCAAACACCUCAAGAGUAUUUUAGACAGCUUCGCCGCGGCCACUGGUCUCCAGAUCAAUUUUGAUAAGACCACUUUUAUCCCUCUUAAUGUUGACCCCACCGAUGCGGCACUUAUGGCAGCUGACCUUACCACUAACAUCUCCUCCUUUCCACAAACUUAUCUCGGCCUACCUCUCUCUCCUUACAAAGUUCCCCCCUCAGCCUUCCAACCAGUCAUCGACCGUUGUGAUAUCUACCUAGCCGGGUGGUGCACGCUACUUCACUCUUGCGGUGGCAAGCUUGUUCUCCUCUCGGUCGUUCUAGACAGCCUUCCUACCUAUUUUAUGCUCUGUUUCUCUCUCCCUGUCCAGGAUUGUACACUCUCUCAGGUUCUGGAUGAUCGUCGACUGCUUAAUGGCGCUGCCUUUUCCACAAAAGGAGCAUAUGCGGCCCUCUCGGAUCCCAUUCUUAAUGAUAUUUGGGACUCAAAGGUGCCCAAAAAGCAGCUCGCAGGAUUUGAAGAGCAGUCGUCAUAUGUCCUCUAUUCAGACCUAUCAAUGGUCUCUUCAGUACGACUCUUCCGGACUCGCUGCCUACCACGGUCCACCCCUUCAUGCUCCUUCUGA
Molecule: ribosomal RNA, 726 nt
Filed under: Triticum aestivum (bread wheat)
Lineage: Eukaryota; Viridiplantae; Streptophyta; Magnoliopsida; Poales; Poaceae
Description: partial small subunit ribosomal RNA
Source: RNAcentral